Molecule: transfer RNA, 72 nt
Filed under: Bunocephalus coracoideus (banjo catfish)
Lineage: Eukaryota; Metazoa; Chordata; Actinopteri; Siluriformes; Aspredinidae
Description: tRNA-Asp
Rfam family: tRNA
About the family: Transfer RNA (tRNA) molecules are approximately 80 nucleotides in length. Their secondary structure includes four short double-helical elements and three loops (D, anti-codon, and T loops).
Source: RNAcentral
AAGAUACUAGUAAAAUCGUUAUUACUUUGUCUUGUCAAGACAUAAUUGUAGGUUAAAAUCCUGCGUAUCUUA